Molecule: ribosomal RNA, 388 nt
Filed under: uncultured marine eukaryote
Lineage: Eukaryota
Description: partial 18S ribosomal RNA
Rfam family: Eukaryotic small subunit ribosomal RNA
Source: RNAcentral
UGGGUGUUGUUGCUACUUGGUUACCCUGGUAUUUCUAGAGCUAAUACAUGCGUCAAAACCCCACUUUUGGGGAAGAGUUUUUUUUAUUAAAAACUAACCCACCCCGGGUUGCCCGGUUUCAAGUUGAUUGAUGGUAAGCGAACGAAUCGCAUGCUUUGCCGGCAAUAUUUCAUUCAAUUUUCUGACCAAUCAACUUUCGAGGGAGGGGUGUGGGCCCCCGGGGGAUUUAAAGGAAGCGAAAAAUUAGGGUUUGAUUCCGGAGAGGGAGCCAUAAAAAACCCCUCCCCCCCUUUAAGGGGAGGGGAGGUGGGCCCCCAAUUUCCCUAUUACCGAAGGGGGGGGGGGUGUGGCAAAAAAAAAAAAAGGGGGGCCCCUCCUUUUUUCUCAU